RNAcentral lists this ribosomal RNA (272 nucleotides) under uncultured bacterium. RNAcentral's name for it is "partial 16S ribosomal RNA". It matches the Rfam family "Bacterial small subunit ribosomal RNA", at positions 338 to 627 of the family's 1533-position model. The record is from RNAcentral.
CCUACGGGGGGCAGCAGUGGGGAAUAUCGUACAAUGGGGGAAACCCUGACCCAGCAAUGCCGCGUGAGUGAAGAAGUACUUCGGUAUGUAAAGCUCUAUCAGACGGGAAGAGAAUGACGGUAGCUGACUAAGAAGCACCGGCUAACUACGUGCCAGCAGCCGCGGUAAUACGUAGGGGGCGAGCGUUAUCCGGAUUUACUGGGCGUAAAGGGAGCGUAGGCGGUUCUGCAAGUCUGAAGUGAAAUGCCGAGGCUUAACCGCGGAACGGCUUU